RNAcentral lists this ribosomal RNA (1473 nucleotides) under uncultured Bordetella sp. RNAcentral's name for it is "partial 16S-23S ribosomal RNA intergenic spacer". It matches the Rfam family "Bacterial small subunit ribosomal RNA". Lineage: Bacteria; Pseudomonadati; Pseudomonadota; Betaproteobacteria; Burkholderiales; Alcaligenaceae. The record is from RNAcentral.
AGAGUCUGAUUGGCGGCUCAGAUUGAACGCUGGCGGAUGCUUUUUACACAUGCAAGUCGAACGGCAGCACGGACUUCGGUCUGGUGGCGAGUGGCGAACGGGUGAGUAAUGUAUCGGAACGUGCCUAGUAGCGGGGGAUAACUACGCGAAAGCGCAGCCAAUACCGUACGCCCUUCGGAGCGGGGACCUUCGGGCCUCGCACUAUUAGAGCGGCCGAUAUCGGAUUAGCUAGUUGGUGGGGUAACGGCUCACUCAAGGCGACGAUCCGUAGCUGGUUUGAGGACGACCAGCCACACUGGGACUGAGAUACGGCCCAGACUCCUACGGGAGGCAGCAGCGGGGAAUCUUGGACAAUGGGGAAACCCUGAUCCAGCCAUCCCGCGUGCAUGAAGGCCUUCGGGUUGUAAAGCACUUUUUGGCAGGAAGAAACGGCACGGGAUAAUACCCCGUGCAACUGACGGUACCUGCAGAAUAAGAAUCGGCUAACCACGCCAGCAGCCGCGGUAAUACGUAGGGUGCAAGCGUUAAUCGGAAUUACUGGGCGUAAAGCGUGCGCAGGCGGUUCGGAAAGAAAGAUGUGAAAUCCCAGAGCUUAACUUUGGAACUGCAUUUUUAACUACCGAGCUAGAGUGUGUCAGGAGGGAGGUGGAAUUCCGCGUGUAGCAGUGAAAUGCGUAGAUAUGCGGAGGAACACCGAUGGCGAAGGCAGCCUCCUGGGAUAACACUGACGCUCAUGCACGAAAGCGUGGGGAGCAAACAGGAUUAGAUAAUUCUGGUAGUCCACGCCCUAAACGAUGUCAACUAGCUGUUGGGGCCUUCGGGCCUUGAGAAGCAGCUAACGCAGUGAAGUUGACCGCCUGGGGAGUACGGUCGCAAGAUUAAAACUCAAAGGAAUUGACGGGGACCCGCACAAGCGUGGAUGAUGUGAUUAAUUCGAUGCAACGCGAAAACCUUACCUACCCUUUGACAUGUCUGAAUCCCGAAGAGAUUUGGGAGUGCUCGCAAGAGAACCGGAACACAGGUGCUGCAUGGCUGUCGUCAGCUCGUGUCGUGAGAUGUUGGGUUAAGUCCCGCAACGAGCGCAACCCUUUGUCAUUAGUUGCUACUAAAGGCACUCUAUCGAGACUGCCGGUGACAAACCGGAUGAAGGUGGGGAUGACGUCAAGUCCUCAUGGCCCUUAUGGGUAGGGCUUCACACGUCAUACAAUGGUCGGGACAGAGGGUCGCCAACCCGCGAGGGGGAGCCAAUCCCAGAAACCCGAUCGUAGUCCGGAUCGCAGUCUGCAACUCGACUGCGUGAAGUCGGAAUCGCUAGUAAUCGCGGAUCAGCAUGUCGCGGUGAAUACGUUCUGGUCUUGUACACACCGCUCCGUCACACACCAUGGGAGUGGGUUUUACCAGAAGUAUAGCCUAACCGUAAGGAGGACGAUUACCACGGUAGGAUUCAUGACUGGGGUGAAGUCGUAACAAGGU